AUUGAACGCUGGCGGCAGGCCUAACACAUGCAAGUCGAGCGGAUGAAGGGUGCUUGCUCCUGGUUUCAGCGUCGGACGGGUGUGUAUUGCCUAGGAAUCUGCCUGGUAGUGGGGGAUAACGUCCGCAAACGGGCGCUAAUACCGCCUACGUCCUGCGGGAGCUAGUGGGGGAUCUUCGGACCUCACGCUAUCAGAUGAGCCUAGGUCGGAUUAGCUAGUUGGUGGGGUUAAGGCCUACCAAGGGGACGAUUCGGAACUGGUCUGAGAGGAUGAUCAGUCACACUGGAACUGAGACACGGUCCAGACUCCUACGGGAGGGAGCAGUGGGGAAUAGUGGACAAUGGGCGAGAGCCUGAUCCAAUCAGGCGGCGUGUGUGAAGAAGGCCUUCGGAGUGGAAAGCACGUUAUGUUGGGAGGAAGGGCAGUAAGUUAAUACCUUGCUGUAUUGACGGUACUAACAGAAUAAGCACCGGCUAACUUCGUG
This 484-nucleotide ribosomal RNA is filed under the name uncultured bacterium. RNAcentral's name for it is "partial 16S ribosomal RNA". It matches the Rfam family "Bacterial small subunit ribosomal RNA", at positions 30 to 507 of the family's 1533-position model. The record is from RNAcentral.